RNAcentral lists this ribosomal RNA (616 nucleotides) under Microbacterium binotii. RNAcentral describes it as "bacterial SSU rRNA". It matches the Rfam family "Bacterial small subunit ribosomal RNA", at positions 80 to 710 of the family's 1533-position model. The record is from RNAcentral. Lineage: Bacteria; Bacillati; Actinomycetota; Actinomycetes; Micrococcales; Microbacteriaceae.
UUGCACUGUGGAUCAGUGGGGACGGGUGAGUAACACGUGAGCAACCUGCCCUUGACUCUGGGAUAAGCGCUGGAAACGGCGUCUAAUACUGGAUAUGAGACGUGGCCGCAUGGUCAGCGUUUGGAAAGAUUUUUCGGUUCAGGAUGGGCUCGCGGCCUAUCAGCUUGUUGGUGAGGUAAUGGCUCACCAAGGCGUCGACGGGUAGCCGGCCUGAGAGGGUGACCGGCCACACUGGGACUGAGACACGGCCCAGACUCCUACGGGAGGCAGCAGUGGGGAAUAUUGCACAAUGGGCGAAAGCCUGAUGCAGCAACGCCGCGUGAGGGAUGACGGCCUUCGGGUUGUAAACCUCUUUUAGCAAGGAAGAAGCGAAAGUGACGGCACUUGCAGAAAAAGCGCCGGCUAACUACGUGCCAGCAGCCGCGGUAAUACGUAGGGCGCAAGCGUUAUCCGGAAUUAUUGGGCGUAAAGAGCUCGUAGGCGGUUUGUCGCGUCUGCUGUGAAAACUGGAGGCUCAACCUCCAGCCUGCAGUGGGUACGGGCAGACUAGAGUGCGGUAGGGGAGAUUGGAAUUCCUGGUGUAGCGGUGGAAUGCGCAGAUAUCACGAGGAACACC